UCCUAUGGCAACGGGUCCCUCACCAACGCUACCACCGCGCCUGUGCUUCUCAUUUGCCUAGUGCUCAGGUCCAGGCUGGGUCUCAGGUCCGAGGGCAACCUCAGAGACCCCUCAACCUGGCCUCCCAGACCCCAAGCCGGUGCCUCAUACUGACAAUAGCAGGAACAGCGCACCUCCGUUGACUGCUCACUGCAGGUCGGGCCCUGUCCCAAACUGGUGAUGAGAGCAUCGACUGGAGUUAAAUAAGCUGAUGGUUCGAAUCUCACACUACCCCCACAGGCGAUGUCCUCCUGGGCAAGUUACUCACCUCGGCAUGCUUGGGUUUCCCCGUCUUUUAAGAGGCGGACGCUAAUAAUAACUAUCUUAUAGGGCUGUCGUGUGGACAAAUGAAUAUUCAUUCUCCUCUUUUCCAUCCAUUUCUCUACCCAGACCCCUCCCCUGAAAUCUCAUUCCUCAUAACCCUAUAUCUUAGACUCUCCUCCAAACACUAACCCUUUCUCCCACGCUACUCUUCCUCAAAACUUUUCUGGCCUCGCAUACCCCUCAUGCCCCAGGUCUGUAGAUUUUCCUCCUCUGCAGGACGUUCGUUAGUUCGUUCAUUCAUUCAUUCAACAGACAUUUUUCUGACUCUAUCCUUCCUCCCAGGCCUUGUGCUAGACACUGAUGAUAUGGAAAUGAACUGGCCAUGGCUUCUGCCCUCAAGGAACUCUUAGUCUCAAGGAGAGACGGACAGGGAAGCGAAGGCACACAGUAUAUUAAGACAAUGGGAAGUCUGGUACAGGAUGCAUUGGAAUUUGGAGGAAGGAGCCUGCUUGGUGACAUCACAGAACUCUUCCCAGAGGAAGUGGCAUUCAAUUGGCGAAUGAGCAAAUUAACUGUGAUAUAUCCAUAUAAUGAACUAUUAUUCAGCAAUAAAAGGAAAUCAUCUAUCUAGCCAUGAAAAGACACAGAGCGGCAUAUUGCUAAGUGAAAGAAGCCAGUCUGAAAAAACCAUGUACUGUAUGAUUCCAAUUGUAGGGCGUUCUGGAAAAAAGGAAACUUCUACAUAAGAAUGGGGCUCUAAGGACCACGGCAGCGCUGGAGCGAGGGGACAUGUCGUUUGGGUCCCCCCGGAAGCAGACGCUGAGGUGAAGUCAGGAAUGCAAGAGAGAGAGGGCGAGGAAGCGGGCUUGGGCAGCAGAGCCUCUGAGCGGACGCCGACCUGGCCCCUGCCGCGCUCGGGCGUUUGAGGCGGGAACCCCAAAGCUGAUGUGUAUCCGAAGGGGCCCAUCUGUCACUCACUCCUCCCAGCUGACCUUCCAGCUCUUUCUCCCUCCCAGACUUCGGUGCAGCCUCAGCGAGACAUCAUUCGCACAAACUCUGCCGGGACAAAGCCAAGGUUGUGGGUCUGCAGUCUGGACCCCAGUAGGGGUGAGACCAACAUAUUGGUCUUGAGGUGGGAGGAAGCGUGGCCCAGGGCAGAGCCCACAGGGGAGUCUUCUGGAUCUGGGGAAUGGGCCCCCAGGCGAAGAAGAGGGGCUUUGCUUUAUGGACAAAACAAAACGAAAUGAAACCAAGAAACAGCAGCAACGACAAGACCCCCAAACCUCGUAACUGAACCUGUUUUCCUCUUUGCUUUGGCUGCUAGGAAGCUCAGGAACAACUCUGGGAGAAUUUCUACAUACUGAUUUUCCUUGGCUUCCUGUCAUUAUUUAACCCUUGUUUUCCCCCUGGGGCAACGCGGCCUAGAGGAAGAAC
Panthera uncia (snow leopard) is the source of this 1737-nucleotide long non-coding RNA. RefSeq lists it as uncharacterized. The transcript has 3 exons. The record is from RefSeq and is a predicted model, not a curated record. NCBI's taxonomy places the organism in Eukaryota, Metazoa, Chordata, Mammalia, Carnivora, Felidae.